This 1458-nucleotide long non-coding RNA is filed under the name Amborella trichopoda. Its description in RNAcentral is "long non-coding RNA (ATRI_LNC004397)". Lineage: Eukaryota; Viridiplantae; Streptophyta; Magnoliopsida; Amborellales; Amborellaceae. The record is from RNAcentral.
UUUCCCAUCCCACAGAGGAUGGAAGUACAUGACAACCCUGUGAAGGUUAUAGCAUCGGGGUUCAUCAUGUUCUUUCUCAUCUAUCAAACUAUGCAAAUAUUCUUUCUGCCUCACUGCUGAUCCCGAUCCCAUGAAUCAUAUCAUUGUAGAGAGGCAAGUUAGGUUAUUUCGAACUUUUCACAAGCAUAUGCAGCUCCAUGAUAACGUUCUCUCUUUGGAAGCAUUCAAGAAGGGCCUGGAUUGGAGUCUUUUGCUGGCUGGUUGUGCUCAACAUCCAUUGAUGGUUCAUUACAUUGAAUGCAUAGAGAGGACCCACCUUUUGCUGGCCCUGACACAAUUUAAUCAGGUCCAUUGCCCACACAAGUCCUAUCCUUUUGCUGGCUGGUUGUGCUCAACAAAAUCCUCACCAUUGCUCACCUGGGGAACUGCGGAUUGACUAUCCCCUACAUUUCCUACUCCACAACAAAAACAAUGAAUCUGAGUCAUCUCUUUUUACAUUAUCUUUGUGCUUUUCAUGUCUGGUCUUCUGUACCGAGCUUGUCAACUUCAGCUGGGUUUUGUGUGGUUCUUUCUUUCUUUUCUUUCUCCAAUUGUUUUUUCCACCAUAACCAAGUCGGGAUCAUUGGCAUAGAGGUUGUUUCUAUUCACUUUCCAAUGGCUAUUAUGGAUCGGGUGCAACAACAGAACUUCUGAAAACACAGGUAUGGGAGUCGAGUUACUGCAUGCUAACAUAUUAGCUGAUGUUAUUUUUGAGCGAGAUCUACAGAGAAAUUCUGUAAGUUAAAGCUAUGGAGGAGAAAAAAGAACAGGUCUUUUAAAAUUAGCAAAUUUUAAUAUUUUCAGUGUGUUCACUAAAAAGCACAGGUAAAAGGUAAAGAAGAAAAAUAGCUCGAGCUCAUGGUUAACCUAGAAGGAUUUCUUGUUGCGGCCUUGAGGUUUUGCUCGAACCCAGCUUACCUUCUUAGAAAAGAAGAUUUGGCAAAAUCCUUGUAUUCAGGAAGGAAAAAGUUUAUAUAAAGGUUGCAACCUUAAAAAGUAGAAUUACAGGUGCACCUCAUAACUCCAUGGAAAAGGUUGUUUUAAUGAAAAAACUUAUAAUUGACUAUCUCGAUGUAUAAAUAUGAAAAAAAAAAAAGAUUUUGAGUCUAAAAAAUAGUGCAUCUGCAAUACAUUAUCUAGACAUCUAUUUUUAAGAUAUUUAUAUGUUUAUGGAUCUAUUUUUGGAGUUUAAAAUUUUAUAAUUAGAUAUGAAAAUGGAUUUUAAAAUAAUCAUAAGAAUUUGUUUUUUCAAAAUUACAUGCUAAGAUGAAAUUUGGAAGUGCGCUGUAAUUGAAUUGUUUAAGGUUGCAACCUCAUAGAAACCAGGCCCAUUCAUAAAUGGUAUAUGUUAUUGAAACACACUUUCCCGCAUCUAUUGGCUGUCCACCUAACCUCUUUUAGGGCCCCUGUAGAUAGGAG